UACGUAGGGUGCAAGCGUUGUCCGGAAUUAUUGGGCGUAAAGCGCACGUAGGCGGUUCGUUAAGUCGGAUGUGAAAGCCCUCGGCUCAACUGAGGAAGUGCACCCGAAACUGGCGAGCUUGAGUACGAAAGAGGAUCGCGGAAUUCCCGGUGUAGAGGUGAAAUUCGUAGAUAGUCGGGAGGAACACCGGUGGCGAAGGCGGCGAUCUGGGUCGAUACUGACGCUGAGGUGCGAAAGCGUGGGGGAGCAAACAGG
RNAcentral lists this ribosomal RNA (255 nucleotides) under uncultured bacterium. Its description in RNAcentral is "partial 16S ribosomal RNA". It matches the Rfam family "Bacterial small subunit ribosomal RNA", at positions 524 to 776 of the family's 1533-position model. The record is from RNAcentral.